This 320-nucleotide ribosomal RNA is filed under the name uncultured Prevotella sp. RNAcentral describes it as "bacterial SSU rRNA". It matches the Rfam family "Bacterial small subunit ribosomal RNA", at positions 28 to 339 of the family's 1533-position model. The record is from RNAcentral. Lineage: Bacteria; Pseudomonadati; Bacteroidota; Bacteroidia; Bacteroidales; Prevotellaceae.
GAUGAACGCUAGCUACAGGCUUAACACAUGCAAGUCGAGGGGCAGCAUAGGGUUUGCUUGCAGACUCUGAUGGCGACCGGCGCACGGGUGAGUAACGCGUAUCCAACCUGCCCAUGGCUAGGGAAUAGCCCGUUGAAAAGCGGAUUAAUGCCCUAUGGCGUCCUUUGCAGACAUCUAACGAGGACUAAAGGUUUACCGGCCAUGGAUGGGGAUGCGUCCGAUUAGGUAGUUGGCGGGGUAACGGCCCACCGAGCCAUCGAUCCUUAGGGGUUCUGAGAGGAAGGUCCCCCACACUGGUACUGAGACACGGACCAGACUCC